RNAcentral lists this ribosomal RNA (526 nucleotides) under uncultured bacterium. Its description in RNAcentral is "bacterial SSU rRNA". It matches the Rfam family "Bacterial small subunit ribosomal RNA", at positions 984 to 1509 of the family's 1533-position model. The record is from RNAcentral.
ACAUCCAGAGAAUUUAGCAGAGAUGCUUUAGUGCCUUCGGGAACUCUGAGACAGGUGCUGCAUGGCUGUCGUCAGCUCGUGUUGUGAAAUGUUGGGUUAAGUCCCGNAACGAGCGCAACCCUUAUCCUUUGUUGCCAGCACGUAAUGGUGGGAACUCAAAGGAGACUGCCGGUGAUAAACCGGAGGAAGGUGGGGAUGACGUCAAGUCAUCAUGGCCCUUACGAGUAGGGCUACACACGUGCUACAAUGGCGCAUACAAAGAGAAGCGACCUCGCGAGAGCAAGCGGACCUCAUAAAGCGCGUCGUAGUCCGGAUUGGAGUCUGCAACUCGACUCCAUGAAGUCGGAAUCGCUAGUAAUCGUAAAUCAGAAUGUUACGGUGAAUACGUUCCCGGGCCUUGUACACACCGCCCGUCACACCAUGGGAGUGGGUUGCAAAAGAAGUAGAUAGCUUAACCUUCGGGAGGGCGUUUACCACUUUGUGAUUCAUGACUGGGGUGAAGUCGUAACAAGGUAAGCGUAGUGCU